UCAUAAAUACACCAUCUCAUUUCACUGAUUAUCAAAAACAACAAAUUCAAAAUUGUUAGCGAAGGAGAGAAAAGAGAAGUCGUAGUCUCAUAGCUCAUGGGAGAAGAGGGCAAGAAAGCGGCGGAAAAAGAGGAGGGUGCACGAGGUCAUGGAAAUAUUGCACAGAAAGGGCAAGAAGAGGUUAGUUGGACGUGGAAGAGAAAGCCGUUGCAAGGAUUUAGCCAUUCGAUCUCCCUUUCUUACCGGAAGAAAGUG
Molecule: non-coding RNA, 255 nt
Organism: Salvia hispanica
Lineage: Eukaryota; Viridiplantae; Streptophyta; Magnoliopsida; Lamiales; Lamiaceae
Source: RefSeq, a predicted model, not a curated record